UACCCAGCAAAUCCUAUCCCUACCUCCUUAAGGUACUGGCUGAAGUACGAGUAACUUUAGGAAAGAUCGGGUAACCAACCCCGGUCCAAUUCUGACUGAGAAGG
Molecule: ribozyme, 104 nt
Filed under: Aedes aegypti (yellow fever mosquito)
Lineage: Eukaryota; Metazoa; Arthropoda; Insecta; Diptera; Culicidae
Description: drz-agam-1 ribozyme
Rfam family: drz-agam-1 ribozyme
Source: Rfam by way of RNAcentral